GAAUGCCCGAGUGUCCGGAAAUGAGACGGUUUCCGAUCGUUCCGGACGCCGCCAUUCGGCCGUUCUAAACGGUCGUCAUUCA
This 82-nucleotide transfer RNA is filed under the name Burkholderia multivorans. RNAcentral's name for it is "tRNA-Gly". The record is from RNAcentral. Lineage: Bacteria; Pseudomonadati; Pseudomonadota; Betaproteobacteria; Burkholderiales; Burkholderiaceae.